Molecule: long non-coding RNA, 731 nt
Organism: Ornithorhynchus anatinus (platypus)
Lineage: Eukaryota; Metazoa; Chordata; Mammalia; Monotremata; Ornithorhynchidae
Exons: 3
Source: RefSeq, a predicted model, not a curated record
GGUGCUGGAAAUGAAAGAGAAGACAAAAACAGGAGAAGACAUUCAGGGUGACCAGGAUUACCUCUAAUUAGGCUCCCCAGGAGAGAAAUCGUUAUCCGAUGAUUCCUUCUGGGUGACUACAAAAGUUCCCUUGCUCAUUGUUUUUUAUUGCAAAACUAGUAGUGAAUGACAAAUGACUUAAAUCUGGCAAGGGGAGCACUCUAUGAAAUUAUGAAUAUAUUCAAGUUAAAGAUGAUUUCCUGAGAUCAUGAUUAAGCCCUUCUUUGACAUGAGGCCCAGGUAAAGAUUAGUCACUGCCCCACGACUGUGAUUUUCCAUGACACCUUGGCUGAUUCACAAAAAGGGAAAGACCGAGACUCUACAACAUUUUCUCUCAGAAGACUUCUUCCAAGCAGACUGGAGGAACAGGGUCUCCUGUGUUUCAACAGGAUUCUCUGGAUGUGGGAGAUGGCUACACCAUAUUGGAACCUAAAGAUCUGUCCUUGUCUGAACUGACAUCUCGAGUAUGUGGGAGCAAAAUAACAAUAGUGGUACAAUAACAACAGCAAGCAGCUGAACCCAAUGCACCUCAAGAGGAUUGACUGGAACACAAAAUUAACUUUGGAUAUAACACUCACCCCCAUAUUUUCCCAUAUUUCUCAGAACAUUUCUUGUCAAACACCAUCAAACCCUGUGAAAAGAGAUUUUAAAAUGGGAUAAAAACAAGGAUUGGAUAAAAGGGAUCAAGUAGA